AAUCAAGGAAUUUCAGAGGAUGGUCUUUCACUGAGUGGAAGGCAAGCUAAUAGUCAAAACCCUACCAGUGAUGAACAUUCUCAAACCUUAUCUGAGAAAGAAAACGAAGCCAGCCUUUCUCAAAUUGAAGGUUGCUUCAAGGAGCAAACUCAUCUAUAGGUUGAUCCACAUCUAGAAGAUAAUGAAACAAAGGCACUAGGACAUCUCUCUGCAGAGGAGCAUGACGACGAGGAAAGAUUCAAAGCUGAUCGUACAAAAGCUAUACAAGAGAGCCUUGGCGCAACAAACCAAGGAAUUUCGGAGGAUAGUCUUUCACCAAGUGGAAGGCAAGCUCAUAGUCAAAGCCCUGCCAGUGAUGGACAUUCCCAAACCUUAUCUGAGAACGAACACCAUGAGGACAACCCUUCUCAAAUUGAUGAGGAAAGAUUUGAAGCUGACCUUAUAACAGCUGUGCAAGAGAGCCUUGGUAAAUAUCAUAUCACUUUACACAUCCUUGUAUACUCUCUUCCCC
Molecule: long non-coding RNA, 511 nt
Organism: Magnolia sinica
Lineage: Eukaryota; Viridiplantae; Streptophyta; Magnoliopsida; Magnoliales; Magnoliaceae
Exons: 3
Source: RefSeq, a predicted model, not a curated record